GCCGUACUAGAGAAAUGGUUAACUCGUCGGCCUCCUACUUGUAUAUUUACAAUGAUAGCCGAAGAUUCCCGGUUCGAGUCCGGGGUGCGGUG
This 92-nucleotide transfer RNA is filed under the name Annulohypoxylon moriforme. RNAcentral's name for it is "tRNA-Arg". It matches the Rfam family "tRNA". From Rfam's summary of the family: Transfer RNA (tRNA) molecules are approximately 80 nucleotides in length. Lineage: Eukaryota; Fungi; Ascomycota; Sordariomycetes; Xylariales; Hypoxylaceae. The record is from RNAcentral.